This is a long non-coding RNA of Ostrea edulis (European flat oyster), 337 nucleotides long. RefSeq lists it as uncharacterized. The record is from RefSeq and is a predicted model, not a curated record. NCBI's taxonomy places the organism in Eukaryota, Metazoa, Mollusca, Bivalvia, Ostreida, Ostreidae. The transcript has 3 exons.
UUGACAGUGGUGUGCGACCGAGGGAAUCUCACAUCAGGAAUCGGACAUGAAGGUACUUCUCUACUCUGCUUGUCUGCUCGUCUGCGUGCUGUUAUCAUUGAGCGCUGCGUAUACCCUGCCAUGGGAAGAUGCUGAAGACUUCCAGGCCAAGAGGACGUACAACCCGUGUGCUGGGGUAUCAGAUUAUGACUGUUCACGCCACCUAAUGGGAGGUUGGAUCCGGAUAUUGAUGAGGCAAAAAUCCUAAACGACACCGGAAAUCAGUGAUGCAGAAAGACUUCUGAUUAUUAGCAUUUGUGUAAAAACAUGUGUAUGCAUUGGAUAAAAGUUAUUCAAA